Molecule: long non-coding RNA, 2737 nt
Filed under: Marmota monax (woodchuck)
Lineage: Eukaryota; Metazoa; Chordata; Mammalia; Rodentia; Sciuridae
Source: RNAcentral
CGGCUACAGCCGCAGCGAAGCCUGAUGGCGGCCGUCUGAGGGGCUGAAGCUGGUAGGCCUGCAGAAGGCAGGGCAUAGGGAUACUGAAUUCGAACUGCUACUAGCUGAUUUACCCCAGGCUGGCAUUCUCACCUAUACCUCACACUCGGAAUUCGGGGGGGGGGGGGCGCAUUCGUUAUAGGACGACCGGCUGCUCUAGCCAGAGUUCCCCUGAGAAGAGGCUGAGCCAGCCGCCUCAGACUCGGGAGGGGUAGUGGAAAGCAAAGCGGACGCUGAAAGGGAGCAGGAACGCACGUGUAGGCGGAUGAGGCCGGCUCUUAUAGGGAUACCCCAGGACGCCCGUGGGCACGCAGCGGGGGCGGGCGCUGGGCAGGUACUUAAUAUCAGCUGGCAUUUCACUGGGACAGUUGAGGUUGCCCUAGCUGUGGCUAGCCAAAAAAACGGGUUCUGGCAGCUGAGUACGCUGACCAGAGAGCGUGUCGCUCUCCCUCUCCGAACAUCGCGGCCUCCACUCCCGGAAGGGCUCCUGUAGGGCCCUCAAACAAGGGUGCCGUCGGGCUCCACCCCUCCGGGAAGUGCCAGCUCCGCCCCGCUCGUUUUGAGCGGGAGGAGGAACAUUCUCAGGCCUGAAAAUAAGCUAAGCUAACCCACGGAUGCUCAGUUGUCCUGGACGCCGCCGCCGGUUCCUGACAUCCCCUGGGUCUCGGGGAGGCCUUGAGCAGGGACGCUCCCCUUGGAGGGCGCCCUCGAGACCAGGCAUGCGCACAGCUUUUGGGUCUGCUGCCCUGGAGGGUGGAGGCCAAAAGAAACCUUUGAUUUCUUUUCCCCCUAGUCUUGCUCUGACCUCCUAGGGUGACUGGGAAGACGAAUCUGGACGCUAUCCCAAGGCUGUAGCGACCGCAGUCUUGCAGGGCAAAGGGACAGUCAGCUCUACAACCUGUGGGAGAACAACUGAGUCUUGAUUUCUUUCUCCUUUCAACUUUUACCCCUUCAAUCAGAUGUUGAAAAGGGUUUUUCGUCGUUAUCGGCUCACCCUUGUAUGUUAUUGCUUGUAUGACUUAUAUUACAAGCUUACAAAUCAGAAGGGGCCCUUGAUCUGCUAAGUAGGGAGAUUUUAUGUGAUUUUUCUAAAACAAAAAAUUGCAACAUGAUAAUUAUAGAGAAAUAUUGGUAAAACUGCGAAAUACAAUUUGCAGAAGUCAAAGAAUUGGAUUUUUCUGAUGUGUAAGUCAGGCACUUCACUCUUAGGAUUCGAGAACGCUCUUCCUGUUUGCCUCAAAAUCAUCUUACACGCUUAAUUAGUUUCCUGGGACUGAUGUAACAACUACAGUAGUGGUUUAAAACAACGGAAAUUAUUGUCUGGAAUUGUGGAUGCAAGAAGUCAAAGUGUGAGUAGGGGGUGCUCCCUCUGAAGGCACUUGGAAAGGUUCUCUUCCAGGGCUCUUCUAGCUUGUGGUAGUUCUUUGACUUCUGACAGCAUAACCACAAGUUUCACAGGAUGUUCUCCCUGUUUGUGUUCAAAUUUCUCUUUCUUAUAAGAGCACUACUUAUUGAAGGGGGGGCACCCUACUCUAGUAUGACCUCGUUAUUCUUAAUUGUAUCUGCAGUGACCCUAUUUGCAUAUAAGGCCACCUUCUGAGAUGGUGCCAGUGCUGAGAUGGGAAGAGUGCAGGACACAAUUCAAUCUGUAGGGCACCAAGGCAAGUACCUUACCAUGCUUGCAUACUUGCACACAUACCUGCCAAAUUCCACAAUCAUUAUUUUAUGUGUCCAAAAGACAACUCUGGGCCUUUGUAUUGUUGCUUCUUUUUUCUUUCACUCCUUUCACUAAUCUCUUUCUAAUUUUUAAGUUCAUUUGCUUUAUUUUUUUUCCUGCUGCAUCCUUUUCUAAUUAUAUUUUAUACUAAUUUCAUAAAGCAUCUUCUAUCAUUUGGACGUAUGAGUUGAAAUUAGAAAAAGUGGCUUUGUGACCUCCCACCAACAUUAGUUCAAGCACCUUUUUGUUUUGGCUUGAAUCCACAUCCAUCCUUUCAACCUUCUUACGAUUAAAAACGGCUGGCGCUGUGGGGCACAGUGACCCAUGAGUGUGAUCCCAGCUAUUGGAAAGGUUGAGACAGGAGGAAUGCAAGUUUGAGGCCAAUCAAGACAACUUAGUGAGACCCUGUCUCAAAAAAAUAUAAAGUGGUAGACAUGUAGCUCAGUAGUAGAGGGCCCCUGGGGUUCAAUUCCCAGUCCUGCAAGCACACAAAAACCAGGGGGCUAUUCAGACAUAAUACUUCUACAGAACCCCAGGGACUGGAGCAUAAUCAUAGAGAGACCCAGUAGUGAUUGCUAGGUACAGAAGUGGAUCACUGCUUCCACAUACAACACUACCUGCCUCUCCUGUCAUAUUCAUUACCUCUAUGAGACCUUCCCUGUCUGUCUUACCUAAAAUGUCAAUACUUUCCCACUUUAUAUCCCUAUCUAUACUUAUUUCAUUAACACCAGUAGGAUGAUUAUAUAUUAUAUCUAUAUGUGUGAUAUAGCUCCUUUUGUCUAUCCCAUUUAAAUGUAAGUUCCCUAAGGACAGGAGUUUCUGUUUUUGCCUUAUUUGCCAUUAUAUGCUGAGACCAGUACUACUACAAAGCAAUGUUUAAUAAAAAUUUGCUGUAUGAAUAAAUCUCUUUUUUUUCCUUUUUAAAUGAUAUUUUAUCCAGAAAGAGCAAGAAUGGUAUUGAUUCUCUUUAUAAUAUUUCAC